This 1402-nucleotide long non-coding RNA is filed under the name Polistes fuscatus (common paper wasp). RNAcentral describes it as "uncharacterized LOC122518512". Lineage: Eukaryota; Metazoa; Arthropoda; Insecta; Hymenoptera; Vespidae. The record is from RNAcentral.
AAAAAAUUCAAUUAAAUGGCAAUUCAUAAAAUGAGUUAUUGAUCUGAAAAAAGGAAAACUAAUUAAUUCUGCAACAGACUAAUCUUUGUCUUAAUCUUUUCAAGAUGAAACUACUGAUUAAAUAAAUUUAUACCAGUGAUAUAUAUAUAUAUGUAUAUUAUGAGAAAAAAUUAUAUACACGGGGUUGUGCUAUUAUUAUGAUGAAUCUUUACUAAAAGGAAUUAUAAUACCGUACUAUUUCUAUUACAAUUAAUCAUUUUUACAUUUUCAAAAUGAUGGAAAAUAAUAAAACACCAAUAUACUUUGAUAUAGCAAAUGAAGCUGAUUCAUACAAAUAUUAAAUCAAAGUCUUUUUUGUUAACAGUUCAUUACUAUAUACAACUUUUGAGGCUUAUUUAAUAUUUGUCUCUCCAUUUUUGUACGUUUUGUAUACUAUUUCUCUUUAUACAAAAUACUGCCAUUAGAAAAUAUAAUAGUUGAAGUAGUAGAAGGCAAUAGGGUAUAGUUAAGUAAGAAAAACAUUCCAUACAUUUUUCAUCAAAUCUUAAUACAUAGUAUUAUACACAUAACAAAAAGAAAAUUAAUAACAAAUUAUCCUUGAAUUUUAGAUGACCAUUCAAUGUCGAAAGACUGAGAAAUGUGCUUUUUUGGAACUUCAAAUGUGCCAUACUAUAACUUAGAUAAAAUUUUAGAGAAAAAAAAACCUAAAUAUGUUUGUGUAAUUAAAAAUUUCUCUAUUUGCUGUUGAUUAUAAAAUUAUUAAACAAAAAAAACUAUAUAGCAUAUCUGUAAAUCCUGUUAAUUAUUAUUAAUAGCUUGAAAGUACAUCUUCUAUUAAGAUAAUUAAAUGUCAGCAUAUUAGUCCGAGUUAUUUAUGAGAGUUAAAAGUAAAAAUAUAGAAGAAAUAUUAAUAAUAUGAAAAAAAUUAAAUAAUUUAUAAAUUUCGAAUAUUUUUCAGUUAUUACAUCUAAGGUGGAGUUAAUUGUAUUUAGCAAUUAGAAAAGGAUUAUGUUAUAAAUUAAAAAGAAACAAUAUCUUUUUGCAUAAAUAUAUACAAUAAAAGCACACUUAUACAGCUGCUUGACCAAUUUUUACGUAGAGCGAAAGAUUUAUAUAUGAAUAGUUUAAUGAAUAUCUAUCAAUUCACUUCUAUAUUAUAUUUUACCUUAUGUAUAUGAAAGCAAGUCAUCUUAUACAGAUUUUACCAUAAGCCCAUUAUAUACAAAUAAAUAAAAACAUUUAUGUUGAUUAUCAACACAAUGUAAAAUAGACAAAAGGCAAUAAAACCUUUCUUAUGUCUAUAUGUUAAUUGGAAAAUAAUAUAUCAUCACUUUGUAAAACACAUCAUUUGUACACAUUUCACUGAUAUGUAUAGAUUAAAUAAUAAAUCAUUAACACUAUA